RNAcentral lists this ribosomal RNA (253 nucleotides) under uncultured bacterium. RNAcentral's name for it is "partial 16S ribosomal RNA". It matches the Rfam family "Bacterial small subunit ribosomal RNA", at positions 524 to 776 of the family's 1533-position model. The record is from RNAcentral.
UACAGAGGUCUCAAGCGUUGUUCGGAUUCAUUGGGCGUAAAGGGUGCGUAGGCGGCGCGGUAAGUCGGGUGUGAAAUCUCGGGGCUUAACUCCGAAACUGCAUUCGAUACUGCCGUGCUUGAGGACUGGAGAGGAGACUGGAAUUUACGGUGUAGCGGUGAAAUGCGUAGAUAUCGUGAGGAAGACCAGUGGCGAAGGCGGGUCUCUGGACAGUUCCUGACGCUGAGGAGUGAAAGCGUGGGGAGCGAACAGG